ACUGCAAAUAAGUUAAGUUCAAAAUACUUUGUGUCAUGCCCUUGCCAUGUGUGCGGAAAGAAAUACCGAACCUUGUCGCCUUUCAUAGGCUGUAAAAUGUGCCGCUGAAAGUGAAAUCAAGGUGCGACAUGU
This 132-nucleotide small nucleolar RNA is filed under the name Sinocyclocheilus rhinocerous. RNAcentral describes it as "Small nucleolar RNA SNORA68 (ENSSRHG00000030257.1)". It matches the Rfam family "Small nucleolar RNA SNORA68". From Rfam's summary of the family: U68 is a member of the H/ACA class of small nucleolar RNAs (snoRNAs) which act as guides in the the modification of uridines to pseudouridines. Lineage: Eukaryota; Metazoa; Chordata; Actinopteri; Cypriniformes; Cyprinidae. The record is from Rfam by way of RNAcentral.